GAUGAACGCUGGCGGCGUGCCUAAUACAUGCAAGUCGAGCGAACGGACGAGAAGCUUGCUUCUCUGAUGUUAGCGGCGGACGGGUGAGUAACACGUGGAUAACCUACCUAUAAGACUGGGAUAACUUCGGGAAACCGUAGCUAAUACCGGAUAAUAUUUUGAACCGCAUGGUUCAAAAGUGAAAGACGGUCUUGCUGUCACUUAUAGAUGGAUCCGCGCUGCAUUAGCUAGUUGGUAAGGUAACGGCUUACCAAGGCAACGAUGCAUAGCCGACCUGAGAGGGUGAUCGGCCACACUGGAACUGAGACACGGUCCAGACUCCUACGGGAGGCAGCAGUAGGGAAUCUUCCGCAAUGGGCGAAAGCCUGACGGAGCAACGCCGCGUGAGUGAUGAUGGUCUUCGGAUCGUAAAACUCUGUUAUUAGGGAAGAACAUAUGUGUAAGUAACUGUGCACAUCUUGACGGUACCUAAUCAGAAAGCCACGGCUAACUACGUG
This 497-nucleotide ribosomal RNA is filed under the name uncultured bacterium. Its description in RNAcentral is "partial 16S ribosomal RNA". It matches the Rfam family "Bacterial small subunit ribosomal RNA", at positions 28 to 507 of the family's 1533-position model. The record is from RNAcentral.